AUACGGAAGGUCCGGGCGUUAUCCGGAUUUAUUGGGUUUAAAGGGAGCGCAGGCGGAGAUGCAAGCGUGACGUCAAAUUUCGGGGCUCAACCCCGUCUCGCGUCGCGAACUGCGUCCCUUGGUUGCGGGAAGGGGAGGCGGAACUCGUGGUGUAGCGGUGAAAUGCAUAGAUAUUACGAAGAACUCCGAUCGCGAAGGCAGCCUUCCGGCCCGUCAACGACGCUCAUGCUCGAAGGUGCGGGUAUCAAACAGGAUUAGAUACCCUGGUAGUCCGCACAGUAAACGAUGGACACCCGCGGUUUGGCCUGUAUGGCUGAGCCGCCAAGCGAAAGCGUUAAGUGUCCCACCUGGGGAGUACGCCGGCAGCGGUGAAACUCAAAUGAAUUGACGGGG
Molecule: ribosomal RNA, 393 nt
Filed under: uncultured bacterium
Lineage: Bacteria
Description: partial 16S ribosomal RNA
Rfam family: Bacterial small subunit ribosomal RNA
Source: RNAcentral